CCAAUUUUAUAUACUAGUGUGUAUGCCGCUGUCAAAGGUGGUACUACACUACUACUAUUAUGUAAACGUUGAACUAGAUCAAUUGGUGUGGAUUGCUUGGGAAUGGACGAAGCGACAAGCCUCUUCCGGACAGGCAAACCCCACACUGAUAACCCUUUUCAAUAUAAUUUACUAGUACAUACUACAAACAAACAAAAGCUAUAAUAGGACUUAUAAACAGGCUGAGUGGGUAAAAUCCUCGGCUUAACCAAUAUAACUAUUA
This 262-nucleotide unclassified non-coding RNA is filed under the name soil metagenome. RNAcentral's name for it is "partial internal transcribed spacer 1". The record is from RNAcentral.